AGUGAACGCUGGCGGUAGGCCUAACACAUGCAAGUCGAACGGCAGCCCAGUAAGAGCUUGCUCUUACGGGUGGCGAGUGGCGGACGGGUCAGGUAUACAUCGGAAUUUACUUUUUCGUGGGGUAUAACGUAGGGAAACUUACGCUAAUACCGCAUACGACCUACGGGUGAAACCAGGGGGUCUUCGGACCUUGCGCGGUUGAAUGAGCCGAUGUCGGAUUAGCUAGUUGGCGGGGUAAAGGCCCACCAAGGCGACGAUCCGUAGCUGGUCUGAGAGGAUGAACAGCCACACUGGAACUGAGACACGGUCCAGACUCCUACGGGAGGCAGCAGUGGGGAAUAUUGGACAAUGGGCGCAAGCCUGAUCCAGCCAUACCGCGUGGGGGAAGAAGGCCUUCGGGUUGUAAAGCCCUUUUGUUGGGAAAGAAAAGCAGCAGGUUAAUACCCCGCUGUUAUGACGGUACCCAAAGAAUAAGCACCGGCUAACUUCGUG
Molecule: ribosomal RNA, 492 nt
Filed under: uncultured bacterium
Lineage: Bacteria
Description: partial 16S ribosomal RNA
Rfam family: Bacterial small subunit ribosomal RNA
Source: RNAcentral